AACGUCGUAGCCUUCGAGGGUUCUGCACAGGUGCUGCAUGGUUGUCGUCAGCUCGUGUCGUGAGAUGUUGGGUUAAGUCCCGCAACGAGCGCAACCCCUGCCGGUAGUUACCAGUGUCUACCGGGACAGCCGCCUUGAUGGGCGGAGGAAGGCGGGGAUGACGUCAAAUCAGCAUGGCCCUUACGCCUGGGGCGACACACACNCUACAAUGGCCGGGACAGUGCGUCGCGAACCCGCACGGGGAAGCAAAUCGUCCAAACCCGGUCCCAGUGCA
RNAcentral lists this ribosomal RNA (274 nucleotides) under uncultured Chloroflexota bacterium. Its description in RNAcentral is "uncultured Chloroflexi bacterium partial 16S ribosomal RNA". It matches the Rfam family "Bacterial small subunit ribosomal RNA", at positions 1005 to 1295 of the family's 1533-position model. The record is from RNAcentral. Lineage: Bacteria; Bacillati; Chloroflexota.